Molecule: ribosomal RNA, 1538 nt
Filed under: uncultured delta proteobacterium
Lineage: Bacteria; Deltaproteobacteria
Description: 16S ribosomal RNA
Rfam family: Bacterial small subunit ribosomal RNA
Source: RNAcentral
AGAGUUUGAUCCUGGCUCAGAUUGAACGCUGGCGGCACGCUUAACACAUGCAAGUCGAACGAUGAAGGUUCGUAGUAUUUAUACUAUGGAUUGACAUAGUGGCGAACGGGUGAGUAAUGCGUAGGGACCUGGCCUGAAGAGGGGGACAGCCUUAGGAAACUGGGGUUAAAACCGCAUAAUACUCUGAGGAGGAAAGCUGCCCAGACUAGGAUGCACGGAGAGUGCAUUGUAGUCUGGGUGGUACUUUAGGGAUGGACCUACGUUGGAUUAGCUAGUUGGUAGGGUAAAAGCCUACCAAGGCGAUGAUCCAUAGCUGGUCUGAGAGGACGAUCAGCCACACUGGGACUGAGACACGGCCCAGACUCCUACGGGAGGCAGCAGUGGGGAUUGGACAAUGGGGGCACCCUGAUCAGCGAUGCCGCGUGUGUGAAGAAGGCCUGCGGGUUGUAAAGCACUUUUAAUGGUGAGGAAAGUGAUGCUUUGAAUAGGAGUGUCAUGUGACGUUAGCCAUAGAAUAAGCACCGGCAAACUCUGUGCCAGCAGCCGCGGUAAUACAGAGGGUGCGAGCGUUAAUCGGAAUGACUGGGCGUAAAGGGCACGUAGGCGGCUUAUCAAGUUAGAUGUGAAAUACCAAGGCUUAACCCUUGGGGCGGCAUCUGAGACUGAUGAGCUAGAGUAGAUCAGAGGGGAGCGGAAUUUCCGGUGUAGCGGUGAAAUGCGUAGAUAUCGGAAGGAACACCAGUUGCGAAGGCGGCUCUCUGGGGUGAAACUGACGCUGAGGUGCGAAAGCGUGGGUAGCGAACAGGAUUAGAUACCCUGGUAGUCCACGCAGUAAACGAUGAAGAACUAGCUGUUAGUACGCGACGACGAAUUAGUAGCGCAGCAAACGCGAUAAGUUUUCCGCCUGGGGAUUACGGCCGCAAGGCUAAAACUCAAGAGCGAACUUGACGCGGGGCCCGCACAAGCGGUGGAGCAUGUGGUUUAAUCCGACGCAACGCGAAGAACCUUCCGUGGAUUUGACAUCCCGGGAAUUCUUUCGAAAGAUUGAAGUGCCCUUCGGGGAGCCCGGUGACAGGUGCUGCAUGGCGUCGUCAGCUCGUGUCGUGAGAUGUUGGGUUAAGUCCCGCAACGAGCGCAACCCCUAUCUUUAGUUACCAUCAUUCAGUUGGGGACUCUAAAGAUACUGCCCCGGUCAACGGGGAGGAAGGUGGGGAUGACGUCAAGUCCUCAUGGCCUUUAUGUCCAGGGCUACACACGUGCUACAACGGGCUGUACAAAGGGUUGCAAACUCGCGAGAGUAAGCUAAUCCCAAAAAGCAGUCCGUAGUUCGGAUUGGAGUCUGCAACUCGACUCCAUGAAGCUGGAAUCGCUAGUAAUCGCGGAUCAGCAUGCCGCGGUGAAUACGUUCCCGGGCCUUGUACACACCGCCCGUCACACCAUGAGAGUUGAUUGUACCGGAAGUUGUUGGGCCAACCUUUCUAGGGGGCAGGCACCUAUGGUAUGAUUGAUGAUUGGGGUGAAGUCGUAACAAGGUAGCC